This 466-nucleotide ribosomal RNA is filed under the name uncultured bacterium. RNAcentral describes it as "partial 16S ribosomal RNA". It matches the Rfam family "Bacterial small subunit ribosomal RNA", at positions 28 to 507 of the family's 1533-position model. The record is from RNAcentral.
GAUGAACGCUGGCGGCGUGCUUAACACAUGCAAGUCGAACGGAAAGGCUCCUGCUUGCAGGGGUACUCGAGUGGCGAACGGGUGAGUAACACGUGGGUGAUCUGCCCAGCACUUCGGGAUAAGCCUGGGAAACUGGGUCUAAUACCGGAUAGGACGAUGGUUUGGAUGCCAUUGUGGAAAGUUUUUUCGGUGUGGGAUGAGCUCGCGGCCUAUCAGCUUGUUGGUGGGGUAAUGGCCUACCAAGGCGUCGACGGGUAGCCGGCCUGAGAGGGUGUACGGCCACAUUGGGACUGAGAUACGGCCCAGACUCCUACGGGAGGCAGCAGUGGGGAAUAUUGCACAAUGGGCGCAAGCCUGAUGCAGCGACGCCGCGUGGGGGAUGACGGCCUUCGGGUUGUAAACUCCUUUCGCUAGGGACGAAGCGCAAGUGACGGUACCUGGGGAAGAAGCACCGGCUAACUACGUG